AUAGCUCUAAGCCCACAGCCAAAGAGCUUCGGGUCAAUCUCCUGAUAUCCAUUACCAGCAGUUGGAAAAAGAUAGAAAAUGCGGUGCAGAAGGAAAGUCCAAUUGGUACGGCACAUCACAGGAUGUGCUUCACCUGGGACAUGACUGCCUGCAGAGAGCAAGUGAAUUUUUGUUAGGUUUCUGGGAGACCUGUGAACUCUCUCAAUAGAUCUCCAACCAGCCGCAAUGAAGAACAAACAGAUUUUGUCCCCAGGCUACAACCAUUUCAUUUGCCCACAUACCCCUACUCAGAGCAGUCUGCCUGAAUGAAUACAGCUGUACAGCUGGAACUGAAGUGGAGAAGACAGUCUUUCUUUACAGAGUUCUGUAGCAGGUCCUGUUAUGAAUCACUACGUUUUAACAUACCCUGCUGUCAUGACAAGCUAUCAAAGCACUCACAGCUCCUGUCUAUUUUCCCUACUGUGUAAGGAAAGACCUUCACAGCCAAGGGCUCAGGCUGCUGGGAGGGAAACUUGGUGGGCUCUGUCCCACACACUAUACAAUUUUGGCUGUGUCGGCAAUCUGCCUCAGCUUCUCUGCUGUGAUCAAGGACUACCACAGCACUGGCCUGGAGCGGAGCAAGACCUGGAGCUGCCUCUGAAGUCAACCCGCUAAAACCAGACGCAAGUCUUCCAAUAAUAAACACUAGCAUACUGAAAAGGGCUCUGAAAUUUCCCUUUCAAACAUUUAAAUGCAGGUGUUGCUGCCAGAAUUGCUCCCACUCAACAACUGGAAACUGUUUGAUAUUCAUAUGCAGAAAAUGCAAAUGUAUGAGAUCACAUCUGCCUUGUGAGCAGCAAGUGAUGCUGCAGGCAGGUCAGGAUGAAGAACAAAAAGAGCUAUUGGCCUACUAACAGUUUAAUGCAGAUUUCCCAUUGCCAUUACUCAUCCACCAAACACCAGGCUUUGGUCAACACUAAUGGCAUACAUGAGUUCACGUAAGUAAAAAACACAGUUAAUUUUGUUCAUAUUUUCUCUCUACUUGAGCUAAUCACUC
Long non-coding RNA from Centrocercus urophasianus (Greater sage-grouse), 1036 nucleotides. RefSeq lists it as uncharacterized. The transcript has 3 exons. Lineage: Eukaryota; Metazoa; Chordata; Aves; Galliformes; Phasianidae. The record is from RefSeq and is a predicted model, not a curated record.